UGCGUAGGUGGUGGGGUAAGUUUGAGGUGAAAGCUCCGGGCUCAACCCGGAAAUGGCCUUGAAGACUAUCCUGCUCGAGGGUUGGAGGGGGGACUGGAAUUCUCGGUGUAGCAGUGAAAUGCGUAGAUAUCGAGAGGAACACCAGUGGCGAAGGCGAGUCCCUGGACAACACCUGACACUGAGGCACGAAAGCUAGGGGAGCAAACGG
This 208-nucleotide ribosomal RNA is filed under the name uncultured bacterium. RNAcentral's name for it is "partial 16S ribosomal RNA". It matches the Rfam family "Bacterial small subunit ribosomal RNA", at positions 568 to 775 of the family's 1533-position model. The record is from RNAcentral.